GGUUCUGUAGUGUAGCGGUUAUCACGUCGCCCUGUCACGGCGAAGAUCGCGGGUUCGUACUCCGUCAGAACCG
Molecule: transfer RNA, 73 nt
Filed under: Lactococcus lactis
Lineage: Bacteria; Bacillati; Bacillota; Bacilli; Lactobacillales; Streptococcaceae
Description: tRNA-Asp (GTC) (tRNA-Asp-GTC-2-1)
Rfam family: tRNA
About the family: Transfer RNA (tRNA) molecules are approximately 80 nucleotides in length. Their secondary structure includes four short double-helical elements and three loops (D, anti-codon, and T loops).
Source: RNAcentral